Molecule: ribosomal RNA, 382 nt
Filed under: uncultured bacterium
Lineage: Bacteria
Description: bacterial SSU rRNA
Rfam family: Bacterial small subunit ribosomal RNA
Source: RNAcentral
AUUGAACGCUGGCGGCAGGCCUAACACAUGCAAGUCGAGCGGUUGAGAGUAGCUUGCUACUUGAUGCAGCGGCGGACGGGUGAGUAAUGCAUGGGAAUCUGCCUGGUAGUGGGGGACAACGUUUCGAAAGGAACGCUAAUACCGCAUACGCCCUACGGGGAAAGGGGGGGAUCUUCGGACCUCUCGCUAUCAGAUGAGCCCAUGUCAGAUUAGCUAGUUGGGGGGGUAAAGGCCCACCAAGGCGACGAUCUGUAACUGGUCUGAGAGGAUGAUCAGUCACACUGGAACUGAGACACGGUCCAGACUCCUACGGAGGCAGCAGUGGGGAAUAUUGGACAAUGGGCGAAAGCCUGAUCCAGCCAUGCCGCGUGUGUGAAGAAGG